Molecule: ribosomal RNA, 429 nt
Filed under: uncultured bacterium
Lineage: Bacteria
Description: bacterial SSU rRNA
Rfam family: Bacterial small subunit ribosomal RNA
Source: RNAcentral
AAUCAACGCUGGCGGCGUGCCUAACACAUGCAAGUCGAACGCGAAAACCCCGCAAGGGGUUAGUAGAGUGGCAAACGGGUGAGUAACACGUGGGUGACCUGCCUUCGAGUGGGGGAUAACGUCCCGAAAGGGACGCUAAUACCGCAUGACAUCCUGCUUUUGGAAAAGCGGAGAUCAAAGCUGGGGAUUCGCAAGAACCUGGCGCUUGAAGAGGGGCCCGCGCCUGAUUAGCUAGUUGGUAGGGAACGGCCUACCAAGGCGACGAUCAGUAUCCGGCCUGAGAGGGCGGACGGACACACUGGGACUGAGACACGGCCCAGACUCCUACGGGAGGCAGCAGUGGGGAAUUGUUCGCAAUGGGCGAAAGCCUGACGACGCAACGCCGCGUGGAGGACGAAGAUCUUCGGGUCGUAAACUCCUGUCGGAGGU